Molecule: ribosomal RNA, 253 nt
Filed under: uncultured bacterium
Lineage: Bacteria
Description: partial 16S ribosomal RNA
Rfam family: Bacterial small subunit ribosomal RNA
Source: RNAcentral
UACAGGGGGGGCAAGCGUUGUUCGGAAUUACUGGGCGUAAAGGGUCUGUAGGUGGCUUACUAAGUCAGACGUGAAAUCCCUCAGCUUAACUGGGGAACUGCGUCUGAUACUGGAAAGCUUGAGUGCAGGAGAGGAACGCGGAAUUCCAGGUGUAGCGGUGAAAUGCGUAGAUAUCUGGAGGAACACCGGUGGCGAAGGCGGCGUUCUGGACUGCAACUGACACUGAGGCACGAAAGCGUGGGGAGCGAACAGG